RNAcentral lists this ribosomal RNA (253 nucleotides) under uncultured bacterium. Its description in RNAcentral is "partial 16S ribosomal RNA". It matches the Rfam family "Bacterial small subunit ribosomal RNA", at positions 524 to 776 of the family's 1533-position model. The record is from RNAcentral. RNAcentral also lists the same sequence under 1 other name.
UACGAAGGGGGCUAGCGUUGCUCGGAAUUACUGGGCGUAAAGGGCGCGUAGGCGGACAGUUCAGUCGGGGGUGAAAGCCCGGGGCUCAACCCCGGAACUGCCUUCGAUACUGGCUGUCUUGAGUACGGGAGAGGUGUGUGGAACUCCGAGUGUAGAGGUGAAAUUCGUAGAUAUUCGGAAGAACACCAGUGGCGAAGGCGACACACUGGCCCGUUACUGACGCUGAGGCGCGAAAGCGUGGGGAGCAAACAGG